GACGAACGCUGGCGGCGUGCUUAACACAUGCAAGUCGAACGGAAAGGCCCUGCUUUUGUGGGGUGCUCGAGUGGCGAACGGGUGAGUAACACGUGAGUAACCUGCCCUUGACUUUGGGAUAACUUCAGGAAACUGGGGCUAAUACCGGAUAGGAGCUCCUGCUGCAUGGUGGGGGUUGGAAAGUUUCGGCGGUUGGGGAUGGACUCGCGGCUUAUCAGCUUGUUGGUGGGGUAGUGGCUUACCAAGGCUUUGACGGGUAGCCGGCCUGAGAGGGUGACCGGCCACAUUGGGACUGCGAUACGGCCCAGACUCCUACGGGAGGCAGCAGUGGGGAAUAUUGCGCAAUGGGCGGAAGCCUGAUGCAGCAACGCCGCGUGCGGGAUGCCGGCCUUCGGGUUGUAAACCGCUUUCGCCUGUGACGAAGCGUGAGUGACGGUAAUGGGUAAAGAAGCACCGGCUAACUACGUG
Molecule: ribosomal RNA, 468 nt
Filed under: uncultured bacterium
Lineage: Bacteria
Description: partial 16S ribosomal RNA
Rfam family: Bacterial small subunit ribosomal RNA
Source: RNAcentral